AUUGAACGCUGGCGGCAGGCCUAACACAUGCAAGUCGAACGGUAGCACAGAGAGCUUGCUCUCGGGUGACGAGUGGCGGACGGGUGAGUAACGUCUGGGAAACUGCCCGAUGGAGGGGGAUAACUACUGGAAACGGUAGCUAAUACCGCAUAACGUCGCAAGACCAAAGCGGGGGACCUUCGGGCCGCACACCAUCGGAUGUGCCUAGAUGGGAAUAGUUAGUAGGUGGGGUAAUGGCUCACCUAGGCGACGAACCCUAGCUGGUCUGAGAGGAUGACGAGCGACACUGGAACUGAGAGACGGUCCAGACUCCUACGGGAGGCAGCAGUGGGGAAUAUUGCACAAUGGGCGCAAGCCUGAUGCAGACAUGCCGCGUGUAUGAAGAAGGCCUUCGGGUUGUAAAGUACUUUCAGCGGGGAGGAAGGCGGUGAAGUUAAUAACUUCACCGAUUGACGUUACCCGCAGAAGAAGCACCGGCUAACUCCGUGCCAGCAGCCGCCGUAA
Molecule: ribosomal RNA, 504 nt
Filed under: uncultured bacterium
Lineage: Bacteria
Description: partial 16S ribosomal RNA
Rfam family: Bacterial small subunit ribosomal RNA
Source: RNAcentral